CCGCGGUAAUACGUAGGGGGCGAGCGUUGUCCGGAAUCAUUGGGCGUAAAGGGCGCGUAGGCGGCNUUUUAAGUCAGAUGUGAAAUNCCACGGCUCAACCCUGGGACUGCAUUUGAAACUGUAGGGCUUGAGUGCAGGAGAGGAAAGUGGAAUUCCUGGUGUAGCGGUGAAAUGCGUAGAUAUCAGGAGGAACACCGGUGGCGAAGGCGACUUUCUGGCCUGUUACUGACGCUGAGGCGCGAAAGCUUGGGGAGCAAACAGGAUUAGAUACCCUGGUAGUCCACGCUGUAAACGAUGAGUGCUAGGUGUAGGGGGUUUAGACCCCUUCUGUGCCGCAGUUAACGCAUUAAGCACUCCGCCUGGGGAGUACGGUCGCAAGGCUG
Molecule: ribosomal RNA, 383 nt
Filed under: uncultured bacterium KH1-5-04
Lineage: Bacteria
Description: partial 16S rRNA
Rfam family: Bacterial small subunit ribosomal RNA
Source: RNAcentral